RNAcentral lists this ribosomal RNA (1707 nucleotides) under Rhynchopelates oxyrhynchus (sharpbeak terapon). RNAcentral's name for it is "16S ribosomal RNA". The stretch from base 104 to 1626 matches the Rfam family "Bacterial large subunit ribosomal RNA". Lineage: Eukaryota; Metazoa; Chordata; Actinopteri; Centrarchiformes; Terapontidae. The record is from RNAcentral.
CGCCCAUUAGCUAGCCCCAAACUCAAAACCAAAAACAACCAAUCAACAUCCAUACCCCCAAAGACACUAACCCUAGAACAAAACAAACCAUUUUUCCCCCUUAGUAUGGGCGACAGAAAAGGAACCAUGGAGCAAUAGAAAAAGUACCGCAAGGGAAAGCUGAAAGAGAGAUGAAAUAGCCCAAUAAAGCCUAAAAAAGCAGAGAUUCAACCUCGUACCUUUUGCAUCAUGAUUUAGCAAGUAACCCCCGAGCAAAGAGACCUUUAGUUCGGCCCCCCGAAACUAAGCGAGCUACUCCAAGACAGCCUAAAAUAGGGCAAACCCGUCCCUGUGGCAAAAGGGUGGGAUGAGCUUUGAGUAGAGGUGACAGACCUACCGAGCCUAGUUAUAGCUGGUUGCCUGGGAAUUGGAUACAAGUUCAGCCUCUCGGCUUCUCCCGUUAAUCUGUUCGACUCACCCUCCUUCCCCCCUGAACGCCAAAAGAAACCAAGAGAGUUAGUCAAAGGGGGCACAGCCCCUUUGAAACAAGACACAACUUUACCAGAAGGGUAAAGAUCAUAAUAAAUUUAAGGUAAGAUGUUCUGGUGGGCCUAAAAGCAGCCAUCCCAAUAGAAAGCGUUAAAGCUCAGACAUACCCCCUAUCCUUUUAUCCUGAUAACCUAAUCUUAACCCCCUAGCCCUACCAGGCCGCCCCAUGCCCCCAUGGGAGCGAUUAUGCUAGAAUGAGUAAUAAGAGAGCCCUGACUCUCUCCCCGCACAAGUGUAACUCGGAAUGGACCUACCACCGAACCUUAACGGCCCCAAACAAAGAGGGUAAUGAAUACCAAACUAAACAACCAGAAAAUCACUCAAAUACAACUACCGUUAACCCUACACCGGCGUGCUUACAAGGAAAGACUAAAAGAGAAAGAAGGAACUCGGCAAACACAUUGGCCUCGCCUGUUUACCAAAAACAUCGCCUCUUGCAAAGCCAAAGAAUAAGAGGUCCCGCCUGCCCUGUGACUAUAUGUUUAACGGCCGCGGUAUUUUGACCGUGCGAAGGUAGCGUAAUCACUUGUCUUUUAAAUGGAGACCCGUAUGAAUGGCAUGACGAGGGCUUAACUGUCUCCUUUCUCAAGUCAAUGAAAUUGAUCUCCCCGUGCAGAAGCGGGGAUAAUACCAUAAGACGAGAAGACCCUAUGGAGCUUUAGACACAAGGCAGAUCAUGUUAAACACCCCUAAACAAAGGACUAAACCCCGUGAACACUGCCCUAAUGUCUUUGGUUGGGGCGACCACGAGGAAAAAGAACCCCCGUGCGGACUGGGGGCAUACCCCCCUAUCACCAAGAGCUCCCGCUCUAAUGACCAGAAUUUCUGACCAAACAGAUCCGGCAUAGCCGAUCAACGGACCGAGUUACCCUAGGGAUAACAGCGCAAUCCCCUUUUAGAGCCCAUAUCGACAAGGGGGUUUACGACCUCGAUGUUGGAUCAGGACAUCCUAAUGGUGCAGCCGCUAUUAAGGGUUCGUUUGUUCAACGAUUAAAGUCCUACGUGAUCUGAGUUCAGACCGGAGUAAUCCAGGUCAGUUUCUAUCUAUGACACGAGCUUCUCUAGUACGAAAGGACCGAGAAGAAGAGGCCCAUGCCCAAAGUAUGCCUCCCCCUAACCUAAUGAAGACAACUAAAUUAGAUAAUAGGGCGUACAACCCACAGCCAAAGACAAUGGCCU